Lycium ferocissimum is the source of this 431-nucleotide long non-coding RNA. RefSeq lists it as uncharacterized. The record is from RefSeq and is a predicted model, not a curated record. Lineage: Eukaryota; Viridiplantae; Streptophyta; Magnoliopsida; Solanales; Solanaceae. The transcript is spliced from 2 exons.
AAAGCAUUCAUAACUCUCUCUCAAAAACACAAGCAUAAUUAAUCAAAUAUAUAUAGAUGGCAAAAAUUUCAGUAAAUUGUUGUGUUCUCCUUGUCAUCAUGUAUCUUUCUGUCCUAGACUCGACGAUUGCCCAAAAGGAAUGCACCAGUGAAGUUCCCAGUGUACAGUGCCAAGUGAACGAUAAUUGCAUGCCUACCUGCGAGGAUAUAUAUGGAGAUAAAUUAUUUUGGGCAUCUUGUCUGCAGAAAUCGCCUCCUCCUUCUCCUGUUUGUGUUUGUCAUUAUUAUUGUUAAAGAUUUCUUUGAAGUUGCGACACUAUAAGUGUCUCUCUUUAGAUUUCAUCUAAAUAUUAAACUUAUCAUGUAUUUGAUCGAGUUAUAAGAUUGAUUUCUUUUUUGGUGCAAUGUAAGAUUGAUGUCAUAUGGUUAAAA